RNAcentral lists this transfer RNA (74 nucleotides) under Posidoniimonas corsicana. RNAcentral describes it as "Planctomycetes bacterium KOR34 tRNA-His". It matches the Rfam family "tRNA". From Rfam's summary of the family: Transfer RNA (tRNA) molecules are approximately 80 nucleotides in length. Their secondary structure includes four short double-helical elements and three loops (D, anti-codon, and T loops). The record is from RNAcentral. Lineage: Bacteria; Pseudomonadati; Planctomycetota; Planctomycetia; Pirellulales; Lacipirellulaceae.
GUGUCUGUGGUGUACACGGUACGCACGCCUGCCUGUGAAGCAGGAGGUACGGGUUCGAUUCCCGUCGGAUACCC